Molecule: long non-coding RNA, 1211 nt
Filed under: Anser brachyrhynchus (Pink-footed goose)
Lineage: Eukaryota; Metazoa; Chordata; Aves; Anseriformes; Anatidae
Description: lncRNA (ENSABRG00000017469.1)
Source: RNAcentral
CGGGGAGCUGGUGCUGAGCACCCACCCGCAGCCCCCCAAGGGCAGCCUGGCCGUGAAUCACCUCCAGCAGCACCUGCAGGCAGGGCAGGGGCGGGAGAAGCAUCCCUCCGAGCGGGCAACAGGUCCUGACAAAGCGACCCCCACCCAUCUCGGGGUGCCCCCCGGUCCUCCCCCUUUGUGAGGGUGCCAGGGCCGAGCCUCCCAGCCGUGCACCCGUGGGUGCCCGCGCUCCCCGAGCCCCGAGAGCGGCUCUCACCUUGCGGAGAUGCUGCUGCCGAAUCUUCUUCAUCCCACAAUCCUGUUGCUAUGCGCUCCCCGCUCCGACACUUGUUCUCUGGCUCCGCAGACCAGACGGCCUCUCCGGAGGCAGGGAGGGAGAGAAGAGGGAGCGAUGGCGGGCAGGGAGGGGUGCUGAGCUCCUCCCGGCACCGCGGAUGGAGGCGGGGGGCACGGGGGGACACGGCCCAGCGGGAGCGGAGCUGGCAGCAAGGUUUGCCUGGAGUUGGGGAUGGCUGCGUGCUGAGCAGGCAGGGAGGGAGGGGACGGCUCUUGGCAGGCUGGAGAAGGGCUGUCUGUCAAACGAGCCCCUGCCGGGAGGGGUUGGGGUCCUCAGCCCCCACCAGGGCAGCGAGGAGGAGUGGAUGCUGUUUUACACAAACCCACAGAUGCGUCAGGUCCCGUGGGUGCCCUGCCGCUGGGCACCCGGUGCUCCCACAUGUCCCAGGGGGUGGUGGCAGCAGAGCGAGUGCCAGAAGCUCCCAGCACCUUUCCGGCCAGCCCCACGCUGGUUUUCCUUCUGGCAGGGCACAGCUGGAGCCCGAGCAGCUCCAAAGUGCCUCGUGCCCGUGCUGUCACAGAGCCCGGAGCCCGGGGCAGGGGAUGCUCAGCAGCCCUCGGUCCCUCUGGGCAGGACCAGCGCAUCCCAGUGCGCCUGGGGCAGGUCCCAGUGGGGACAGCAGUCCCCAGUGCUGUCCCCAGCACUGGGGCGCAGCUCCUGUCCCCAGGGCUCAGGUGUUCCUGUUGAGCUGUCAGUGGGAUCCUACAGCCCCGACAGCCAGGGAAAUGGGGGCUUUUCCCCCUCGUGCUCAGCCAAAUCCCCAGGGAGGAGGCAAGGAGCUGAUCUGCGGCUCCUCCUCCCACUGCUGUGGUGAGAAAUGUCCCCAGAGGCUUUGCUCAGCUUUAAGGCUCAGCAGGUGGCUCUGGGGCUGUGG